Molecule: unclassified non-coding RNA, 338 nt
Filed under: soil metagenome
Description: partial contains 5.8S ribosomal RNA, internal transcribed spacer 2, and large subunit ribosomal RNA
Rfam family: 5.8S ribosomal RNA (bases 1-120)
Source: RNAcentral
GAUGAAGAACGUAGCGAAAUGCGAUAAGUAAUGUGAAUUGCAGAAUUCAGUGAAUCAUCGAAUCUUUGAACGCACAUUGCGCCCAUUAGUAUUCUAGUGGGCAUGCCUGUUCGAGCGUCAUUACAACCCUUAAGCCUAGCUGCUUAGCGUUGGGAACUUAGCCUCCAAAGCUAAUUCCUUAAAGACAUUGGCAGAGUUGCGGCAUACUCUAAGCGUAGUAAUUUAUUCUCGCUUCUGAAGGUGUCGUGACGAUCGCCACAAACCUCUACAUUUCUAGUGGUUGACCUCGGAUCAGGUAGGAAUACCCGCUGAACUUAAGCAUAUCAAUAAGCGGAGGA